Long non-coding RNA from Pleuronectes platessa (European plaice), 274 nucleotides. RefSeq lists it as uncharacterized. The record is from RefSeq and is a predicted model, not a curated record. The transcript is spliced from 3 exons. Lineage: Eukaryota; Metazoa; Chordata; Actinopteri; Pleuronectiformes; Pleuronectidae.
UUUGACAGAUUGUUGACUCGUGUUGUCAGUGCUGUUCCCUGUUUGCUCCCCUGCAUACUGUCUUUCAACUCAUCUGCCUGGUCGUCCACCCAUCUGAGUGAAGUUUACCUGCAACAUCAUCUGUCUGCAUAGAACACCUUUUGCUGCAGUGUGCAGAAGUCGCAGUAAGGGACAAUUUACCAGUGUUGGUCCUUGAAACAUCAUGCCCUGCCACCCGGACCCCCGGCUAAUACCCUGCCACCGGCAAUGUUGGGUUAUGCCCUGGCAACUGGAC